This 741-nucleotide ribosomal RNA is filed under the name uncultured archaeon. RNAcentral's name for it is "bacterial SSU rRNA". It matches the Rfam family "Archaeal small subunit ribosomal RNA", at positions 1 to 746 of the family's 1478-position model. The record is from RNAcentral.
UUCCGGUUGAUCCUGCCGGAGGACAUUGCUAUUGGGAUUCGAUUUAGCCAUGCUAGUCGAACGAGUUCACACUCGUGGCACAUAGCUCAGUAACACGUGGCCAAGCUACCCUUCAGUCAGCAAUACCCUCGGGAAACUGAGGCUAAUAGCCGAUACGAAACAGACGCUGGAAUGCACUGUAUUCCAAAGACACCGCUGAAGGAUGCGGCUGCGGCCGAUUAGGUAGACGGUGGGGUAACGGCCCACCGUGCCAGUAAUCGGUACGGGUGAUGAGAGUCAGAGCCCGGAGACGGAAUCUGAGACAAGAUUCCGGGCUCUACGGGGCGCAGCAGGCGCGAAACCUUUACACUGCACGAAGGUGCGAUAGGGGAAUCCCAAGUGCGAGGGCAUAUUAGCCCUCGCUUUUGUUGACUCUAAGGCGGUCAACGAAUAAGAGCUGGGCAAGACCGGUGCCAGCCGCCGCGGUAAUACCGGCAGCUCAAGUGAUGUCCCAUAUUAUUGGGCCUAAAGCGUCCGUAGCUGGCCGACCAAGUCUAUCGGGAAAUCCACCUGCCCAACAGGUGGGCGUCCGGUAGAAACUGGCCGGCUUGGAACCGGAAGGCUCAGAGAGUACGUCCGGGGUAGGAGUGAAAUCCCGUAAUCCCGGACGGACUACCGAUGGCGAAAGCACUCUGAGAAGACGGCUUCGACAGUGAGGGACGAAAGCUCGGGUCUCAAACCGGAUUAGAUACCCGGGUAGUC